Molecule: long non-coding RNA, 4160 nt
Organism: Heterocephalus glaber (naked mole-rat)
Lineage: Eukaryota; Metazoa; Chordata; Mammalia; Rodentia; Bathyergidae
Source: RefSeq, a predicted model, not a curated record
CCCCCCAGCCCGGGCCUGGAUAGACACGCCCCCGACGCCACGCCCCGGCCUCCCGGGUGGACCCGCCCCCAGGCUCACACCCGAGAGUCUAGGCUUGCGGCCUGAGUCCGAGGGUCUGUGGCCUCCACCCACGGGGAACGUGAGAGCCCCAGGCGUGAAGCCGGAGGCCACCCGGGACACCUGGGGCCCCUGGCCUGCCAGCUGCAGCGUCCUCACGCUGUCCUGAAGCCUCACCCACGAAUACUAGAGACUUGAGCCUCGCAAAACAAUGUUCCGCGUACCUGCAGCCUGACCAUCGCAGGCCUCUGCUCGUGGCCCGGAGAUUGCACGGGAUCUGAUCAGAUCACGCCCUGGGGACUUAAAUCGGCUGUGGACCGCUGGACUGCACAGUGAGGCCUGUGUCUGCUUUGCACACCCCUGAGGCUCCACUCCAGGCACUGUGGAUAGCAUGCAGCAGAUGCUUAAUAAACGCCAUCUGUGCAGUGGACACGGAAUGUGCUGACUAGGCCUCUUCUGCUUCACCCUGACCCAGGUCCCAUUUUUUCUGGCUCCUUCAUCUCCUUUCUCUGUUCUGGGCAUGGGCCCCUGGGACUUGUGUGUGCUGGACAAGCACUGCACCAAUAAACCAUGCUUCCAGGCUUGUGAUUAUCUUGAUAAAUGUCUAGAAGAUUAGUAAAGCACACGUUUGGGCAUGUCUGGAUGAGUCAAGAGGCCAUGAUCUUGAGGAUUAUAUCUGGUUGCUGGCUCCUUCCUCUCUAGCACUCUUCCACCCUGUUCUGUUUCUCAGAUGCCAUGAGUUGAGCAGCUGUCUCCGCCAUGCCCUUCUGCCACAACGUUUCUGCCUUGCAGCCAGUCAACCAUGGAUUCAAACCUCUGAAAUUAUGAGCCAAAAUAAAUUCCUCCUUUAAGCUGUUUAUGUCAAGCAUUUGGUAACCAGCAAUGAAAAAUUGACUAAUACAUAGGGCUUAGAUAAAAUUCACCACUGUCACCCCCAUUCUGAAGAGCCACCCAGUUACUUCCUGUUCAAAGGCCUUUUUUAUUGGCAUUAUAGCUCUCUUUAAUCUGUUAUAGUUUAGAUAUAGAAUGUCCCCUAAAAGUCUCAUGUGUUCAGACAUGGAACAUUUUGAGAGUGAUUGGAUCAUGGCAGCACGAUAUUCAUCAGUGGAUUGAUCUAUUGAAUUCGUAGCUAAAUGUACUGUUAGGAGGUGGGGCCUGGUAGGAAGAGGUAUGUCGCUAAGGGAUGUGACUUUGGAGGGUGUAUUCCCCCUCCAGCUCCUCCUCUCUCUCUACUUCCUGACUUACAUGAACUUAGCUUUCCUCCACCAUGCCCUUCCACCAGGCUAUUUCUGCCUCAGAGCCAACUGACCAUGAUCUGAACACUGUGAAAACUGUGAACCAAAAUAAACCUCCCCUUUAAACUUAAGGUAUUGAGUGUUUUGGCCCAGCAAUGGUUAAGUGACUAAUAUACCAUCAUCUGAGAGUUUCCUGUCAUCUUUACACAUACUGCUUCUCCCCUCCAGCAAGUGCAUUGACUGUGAAGCAAAUUACUUACAAGUUCUCUUACUUAAACAAGGACCCAUUCAAGACCCUGUAUCUCAUUUUGUAUCUAUAAUUUUGAAUUUCUGUUUUUUAAAAAAAGCCUCUAAAUGUACAAGAUUUAUACCCCAAAAAUCUGGUUGUGAACUAGGAAUGUCCAUCCAUACUAUCCCCACAAGAUCCUAAAGAGAGCCCUAUGCAGAGUGUGUGUUUGGUAAAUGUUUGUGUGACAAGAAAGAGAGGAAAAGAAAGAGGCAGCCAGGGCAGAGGCUGGGACAAAGGCCCUGGAGGCUGGCCAGCUUUUACAGGAACAAAGGCAUUAGGGAGGUGGGCAGGAACUGGGUGAUUAUUUUAUUGGCCCCCACAAAAUAUUGUAAGAGGUACUAAUUAUGAGGCUUAAGAGAUUUGAGUUAGCAAGUACUGAAGCAUGUCUUUGGAGUGGGACAGGGAACAGGCUGGCACAGCCAUUUCCAUGAACAGAUGUCCUUCAGUCAAUGUGUAGACCCCAGAGGUAGAGAUGCUUUCACAACAACACCUCUUCUUGUUUCUAACUCCUGGGUUCUGGUUCCCAUGUCAGUGUUUGCCAGGCAGUGCUGCAGAUAUCAACAACUCUGAAUCUCAAUGACAAAGUGCAACAUAGAACCUUCUCCUGUGCUCAUAUUCCUUCCUGCUAAUGGCCCAGUACAGCUGUGGCCCUAGUCUCCUUCAUGAACACUGACCAAAGAAUAGCCCAUUCCGAUGAUGAAGCAAUAGCAGAACCACACUAUGACUUUAAAUAUAUCAGUUCUGAUGUUUAGUCUUUCAGAGAUCCUUUAGGUUAAAACUGAGAAAGGGACACCUGAUAUCAGAGGAGUAGGAAAUCUACCCUUGGAGCAGCUAUGUAGGGAGUAGCAGCAAGAGAUCAUGAAGUCUACUACAAGUGAGGAGGUAGAAAGAGGAACUUUUAAUAAAUCUGGUGAGAAAAUGGAGAAUAGGAAGUAGACGUAGAUUACUGUGUAUUACAGAGGAAGACACUUCUGGGUGGCACCCCCUGUCCAAGCAGCCCUAUGCUUUCCUGAGGACAGUAAAGCUGACUAGAGUGAUCAGAAGCACAGGUGCAGCACAAACCUGACAAGAGUGUCAUGUGUGAGAGCAGUAUCUGUUGGUGGGAGUCUGUCAGAUGGCAGCUAAAAAAUAGCAACACUCAAUAGGGCUGGGGAUUUAGCUCAGUGGUUCUGCCGCUUGCCUUGAAAGCACAAGGUCCCAAGUUCGAUCCCUGGUACCAAAAAAAAAAGAAAGAAAGAAAGAAAUAGCAACACUCCACUGCAGAACAAUGAAUGCACCAAACCUUGGAGUGCAAAGUUUUAAAACCCUCAUUCCUUUGUAUCUGUUCCCCCCAGGAGCUGGAGGAAUAGUGGCCAGCCAAGCCAAGGGGAGCUUGUCAACCGGGUUCAAAGGGUAUCUUGAUGGGUACAAACAGAACACCUGCUCCGGGCCAGGCAUAGCCUCAUGGGGAGCAAGGCAAGGAAUAGCCACACAAUGAUUCUCUGAUGAGGACCAAGCAGGGGGACCAGGGAAGGGCAUAAGCUUUACAUAAAGUCCAGAUCUUCAGAAGCCUGGACUCAUUCUGCUUAAGAGCAGGUCUGGCUUUUGCUCAGAUUCUUCCAACGAUGAGCUGCAUGACCCGUGGCAAGUCAACCUGCUUCUCUAAAACUCAGCUUCCUUAUUUGUAGAACAGGCAAUCAAUACUCUCACUGUGCCGUGGUGAUUAAAGGAAUGUCAGCAAUGGUUUUAGGGAGCCAGCUACAUGGCUUUCAUCUAUUAAGAUAGAAGGUAGGGACCUUCACAAGAAGGGAAGGAAAAUAGGGUUUUCUGGAGGGCUCUGCCUUGGAUUUGACUUUAGACCUGAAUGUCAGAGAGGAUAAGAGGAACAACAUGAUUCCCUCCUUGUUGCAUCUAUUUAGGAUUCUCACAUUUUCAAUCCCUUUGUCCCACUUUGGGUGAUCUCACCAUGAAAACUCCUUUGUAGGCCAAAUUAUUUAGAUCCAGAGAAAAGUCCAUUUCUGAUUGUUCUACCCUUGCCCUUUCUUUUCUUCUCACAUCAGUAUUUCUGGCCUUGCCAUGUUGGCCUGGCUGCCAUAAUAUGUAUAUUUUUUGGAAUUGUUUCAUUCUAAGCUAUAGCUAUGACAGUAUGGGGAAAAAUAAAAAAGAAAUGGAAAAGACAUGUCAAGUGUUUCGCACAGUAUAAUUAUUUUCUUAGAGAUGUCAUUCAAAUAACUAGAACCACAGGAAGAAACAUUUUGAAACAUACAAGGAUAAAUUAAAUCAAAGAGUAUGAUAUUCUGAAAGAAAAAAUAAAGCAAUACAUUAUUAUUCUUUGAUGUCAAGUUUUGUGCCUUAGGGACAAAAAGCCAUCACCAAAAUUUCACCCAAAAAAUGUCUUCUCUGUAACAUUUCUGACUUCGGCUACAGAUGGAUAUUUACUCUGAAGAAGGAAAAGAAAAGAAAAAAAACCAUGAGCUUACUCAUACACAUGCACACAUGUGCAGACACCCCAACACACUCCUCUAUCGAAUAGUCGAUAAUGUAAAAUAAUGUAAAAUAGGAAGAAAAGGUCCAAAGGGGUAGGGGUAGUGGGAGGGGCA